Long non-coding RNA from Peromyscus leucopus (white-footed mouse), 357 nucleotides. RefSeq lists it as uncharacterized. The transcript has 3 exons. Lineage: Eukaryota; Metazoa; Chordata; Mammalia; Rodentia; Cricetidae. The record is from RefSeq and is a predicted model, not a curated record.
GGUCCACCUCCUCCUCUGAGGGCUGUGGUGUCAUCUGCACCUGGAUGGGCUUCCCCACUGCAAGGGACAGAGGAGGACAGUGGUCUAGAAGGGAAGAACCAGGAAGACUCUUCUAAAACUUCUGAAUCUGUGUGGUUGUGCAAGCAGUGCCCUCUCCUCUUGGAAAUCUCACUGGAGGCAGCAGCAGCAGCAACAAUGUUCAAAUACAUGAGGACUGAUAUCACCAUACGAACCAGCCUCACUCUACCAUCUGGAUCACAAUUAACCCCUCCUUCUCUGGCCUAACGAAGGUCAGAUAGACUCCGGUUACAGCCUCAGCUCUGUCCCUCAAAGGCAAUGCGAGCUUUGGGAAUUUUU